This 25587-nucleotide long non-coding RNA is filed under the name Volvox carteri. RNAcentral describes it as "long non-coding RNA (VCAR_LNC000882)". The record is from RNAcentral. Lineage: Eukaryota; Viridiplantae; Chlorophyta; Chlorophyceae; Chlamydomonadales; Volvocaceae.
AUAUGGAAGAGUUUAAGCAGGGAUACUGCGUUUGAACACCUUGAUUCAAGCAUCUACAGAUGCGACUGUGGGGCGGUCGAUGAUAAAAUGCACGUUGAGAUAGGUGAACCAAUGGUUCACCGUCCACACUUGCAGCGCGCCAGGGAUCUUCAAUGCCAUAAAUACCAGGGGCUUUCACAGCUAUGAAGCACAACCCAAUAAGCAGGACAUGCCUCGUGAAACGAUGUCGACGUAUGAUAUUGAGCCAAAAGAUAUUAACAUGUGCACAUAACAAUAGACUCAAUCAUACAUAGCCCGAGAAUUAAGAACAAGCCCUUGGGCGGAGUAGCUAACACGUCACUGGGCGGAGUAGCUAAUGGAUCCAAUGGAUCACCAUCCACACUGGCAGCGAAGCAGAGACCUUCAAUGCCAAAAAUACCAGGGGCCUUCGCAGCUAUGAAGUACAACCCAAUAAGCAGGACAUGCCUCGUGAAACGAUGUCGACAUAUGAUUUUGAGCCAGUAAUGUUAGCUUGUGCGCAUAGUAGAAGGAUUAUUCAUACAGUUUCCGGCAUUUAAUCUACUUGUUUUGUAUAAUUACGCAUAUUUGUCGCCACGUGACUGCCUUUGGAAGCGUCCCUCAAUGUCGUGCAGUUGGUUCUGGAGGAGACGCGGGGCCUUGGCCAUGCCAUCCAUUCCUCUUCAUGGAGGCCGUCUUCGUCAAUUUUUGCAGAUUGUUUUAUCGUAAUUUUACUGAUCAGCAGACGCCUGUCAGGAGCAUGGCUGGGGCUCCUGGAGCGUAUGGCUUCUGUGAUCAGGAGCAUGACCGCCAGCCUUCUCAGACUACCUAGUGCACCAAUGGAUCACCAUAUCGACAGUGCCCGUCUCGAUGGCAAGCUGUAUUGACUGGUAUGCACGACACGUUGCCUGAAUAAUGCAAAAGAGGUAAUGGCUUGAGGCGCAUGUGGACCUGGGAUUAAGGCGAACCUGACCAAUUUGCUGACCAACGGGCCGGAGCUCGACGCCAACGAGGCAUCGGAUGCAAUAAUGGCGCACCAGCUUCACGAGAAUGGGCUGAAGGACCUUGCGACCGUGAAGGCAGUGACUGACGUAAGGUCGCAUUGGAUGCGGUUGAGUAGCAAGAGCGUGAAACCCUGCUGGAUAAAAUAUAAUUAAGCUCCUUCAGCAAAUGCUGAGCACAAGUUUUGUUGGGGGUCGGGACCUAUAUACUAUAUACUGGCUUACGCAAGGUGUAGCUGCGCUUGUCGAUGUGGCACACCGGAAUGCACACCGGAAUGCACACCGGAAUGCACACGUACUCAACACACCCACGAGGCACCACCAAGUCUUCGAGGUUUAUGCAUCCUUUUCAUUGUAGCCGUGCUAGACACAUGCCCAUACUAUGGAUUAGGGUGCCACAGGAGAAAGCAGGGGCUGCCUUAGUAAAGGGGUCCGCUGGGUCCGCUGGGGUCCGCUGGGGUCCGCUGGGGUCCGCUGGGGUCCGCUGGCGAAGUUAACCACCCUGUAACAACAUACAUACACCCAUACACGCAUUUCAUGUCCACAUCCAAGAGCAUACCACAUGAACAACCUCAUGCUUUGCUUGUCUCGGGAGCUUUUUACCUCACCCCAACCAAAACCCAAUACGCCUAGUUUUCUGAGCGAUGUUGGUGCCUUUGUUCUCUCCAUGUUGGUGCCUUUGUUCUCUCCAUGAUGCGGUGCAGGGACUGUGCUUGUGGAUGCAAAACCGGCGAUUUCAUCAUUGUGGGGGCUGGCACCUGACCUGACAGCAGUGAAGGCCCUUCAGCUCACCAAGGGAGCUUGUGCCCCUGCUGUGCAGCGGGAUGAGGACUCCUAUGAGGACUCCAGCUAGGGGGGCAAGAAAGUGCAUCACUGGCACACUAUGGCAGUUGCAUGUAUUCAUUAGAAGUUAAACAUGUGAGUGAUGCAUGCCCAAUAUCAUUUUGGACCUUGUGUUCGAGCUGUUCACCCCAGGGGUCCCAGGGUUCAUGUAUAUGUUCAUGGACCAUGCAAACACACGUGUCCAUGCAAUUUCCUUUCGUGAAGAGUGCGUGGACGGGCUGGCAGAGAUCAAUGAUAUGGAAGGGGAACAUGUUUCUUAAACCAGUGGACAGAUUGAGGAACAGCCACAGCCUACAAGGGGCUGUUUUUUGCAAGAUGUGUGCAUAAGUAUCAGGCAGGAAAUGUGAAGCAAGCCGUGGUACUAUUGAAGUCAGGUUACAGCUGUAUUCGUGAUGUGCUAGAUUGGCCAGUGUGUUUUCUGCAGGAGCGCAUCUCGUUUGUCAGGCUGUUACCCACAGGUGCCUCUGCAGAGCUUCAAUCGGGCACUCGUGUACAGAAUCCACAUGGAAGUGUAGUUUUAUAUAUGGGGCCUGCCACUGAGGAGUUCGCAUAUAUUUUUUAGCCGUGUUGGGAGUGUGCCAGGGAUGAAUGCAUAGAUAGGCACACACAAUGCCCCCUCCUUGUGCACCACGGUGAUGGGUGAUGAAGAGGCUGCCCAGAAUGAUGGGCUGUGAAAAGGCAUUAGGUCCCCCGGUUGCAUGUAUUUGUUUGCAAAUCGCCAUGAUGGAAGGUACUGUCUGGGAAUGAGAAGCAAUGUGUGUGUACAGUACAGUUGGAAUUGAACGUUUAUGGCUAGGAUCCAGGGAGGUUGUACCUGAGAGUUUUGAGGCUGCUUAAGAAUAAAGCUCGCAGGGUGGAUGGACAGAAAACACACUUAGGGUAGAUAGUUUCCUAGCCUACGUGGGCCCAUGUGUGCCUUAGUGCGCCCAAUCCUCGUUUACAUGUAAUUUCCUUUUCCUAGGUGUUACUUGCUUGUCUUGCUAUUUCCUAUGGUUUACCCAUGUAUCCAUCGAAAGCAACUUCCAUCCUGCCACUCUCUCCGUCAAGCUCAAACGGACGGGCGGGGACCAUUUCAUUUAUGCAGAUGCAGUUCACAUUAUAAGAAACAGGAUCUAGUCACAUAACUAAGUAUGACAUGGCAUAACAACUUUCUAACCCAGACUAAACGGUAGAGCUGGAGGGGCUGGGAUUUGCUCGUUCUACACAAACAGCAGUACCCUAAUCGCCAAGCAUUGCAGUGCCUUAAUCUUAUUACAGCACCAGUGUACUAAUCCUGAUCCUGGAUAUGGGGUAUUUGUCCAUAUCCUAGGGGCGGAGUUCUAAUCCUAAUCCUGUGGGUGAGGUCCCAAUCCUAAUCCUACACUAGGGUCCUCAUCCUAAACCUGUCCUCAACUUUGUAUCCUAAUCCUGCCCCUCUUUCCGAAUCCUAAUUUCUGCCUGACGCAAGGUGGCUCUACGCCAAGAAUUCAGCCGCUUCAAGAUGGUCAACGGCGAGCCACUUUCGAUGUAUUUCGCGUGUGCGAGGCAGCUGCAAACGGACUUGUUGGGUGUCAGCCACGUAAUCAACGACUCCGAGCUGGCGUAUACCGUCCUUGUUGGUCUACCCAAUCGGUACAGCGUGGUGACGACAACACUACUGAUGCGCGACGGCGAUUUGGACAUGGCGAACGUCACAUCGAAGACGGCAAACGGUGGGUCAGGCACAUCGACCGAGUCGGCAGCGUUUGCAUUUGUCGGCGGUUCGACGUCCGGCGCUUCUAAUUCUGGUUAUGGUAGCCGGGGGCCGGCUAACAACAGCUCGGGACACAGGCGAAAGCAGAUCGUUUGCUACUACUGUAAUAAGCCUGGGCACGUGGAAAAGGACUGCAGGCAGCUUAAAGCGCUCAAGCAGUCGUCAAUUUCUGGAUAUAAGGAUGGCAACAACAGUGGCAGCGGAGCUAGCAGCAGCAAGCCAGGAUCCGGUGGAUCAGCUAGGGGGCCAGGUGUUCCGCGGCAGGUAGCGUUCGUAGCAUACAACAACGAGUACACUCUGAAGUCGGAUGGGGUGAAUGGCUUAGGGUGCCCCUCUAGCAGGGGAGAGCAGGGAAUUGCCUCGGGAAGGAGGCCACUGGUGAAGCUUAACCUCCCUGUAACUGUUGAGGAAACGGUCCUCUCCCAACUCGUGUGGUUGUCGACCAGGGGAUUUGACCCCGGGUCUGCGCCUGACUAAUGGGGAAGACUUACCACAGAACCUUAUGGGGCUACCGAUGCAUAUCCGGUAGCUAAGUGAUAGACAUUAGGGCACCGUCUGGACGGCGCAGUGAGAUCGCGGAAUGUACGUGCAGUUAGAUCGCGGAAUGUACGAGUUUUCCGCUAGCGCCGGUAUUUAGGGCGGUGACUGCGCCUAUUAGUUUAUCUCACAACGAUCGGUAUUCCUACCAGGAAUCUCCUCAAGUCCUGCCGAACGCUAACAAUACUCUUUACAUUACUUGUAACAAGUUUAUCGUGCUAAAUAUCUUCGCCACCGGCAAUCCUUCCGGAAUAACAAUCAGCGUUAGCCGUCACCGUCGCCAAUUCUUCAAUAGGUUAUGAGCCCCGUUUAGCGCCGACAGUUAUCGCCAAAUUGUUAUUUCUAUCCCUCAUCGAAAAUGGUUAAGGACAAGCUUGAUGAGUCGCUGGAUCUCAACAACUACUCUACCUGGCAAAUUCGGUUCAGCGCGUUGUGCAUGGAGCUUGGGCUUGAGCAAUCCCUGCUCGCCGAGCCGUGCAACGAGGAGCAAAUUCGACAGUCAAGGAAGGUCAUCAAUCUGCUCAUCAAGAACGUCAAGGAUCAUCAUUUGCCGAUGGUUACCGGUGCUGCCAACGCGAAGAAGGCCUGGGACGCCUUGGGAUCUAUGUUUGCUGCCAACAACAACGCCCGCAAGGUGUCUCUACGUCAAGAAUUCAGCCGUUUUAAGAUGGUCGACGGCGAACCUCUUCCGAUGUACUUUGCGCGUGCAAGGCAGCUGCAAACAGAUUUAUUGGGAGUCGGCCACGUAGUUAACGACUCCGAGCUGGCGUACACCGUGCUAGUUGGUCUANNNNNNNNNNNNNNNNNNNNNNNNNNNNNNNNNNNNNNNNNNNNNNNNNNGGUGACGACUACAUUACUUAUGCGCGACGGCGAUUUGGACAUGGCGAGCGUCACAGCAAAGCUUCUCUCUAUCGAGACGGCUAACGGUGGGUCGGGCAAGCCUACCGAGUCGGCAGCCUUCGCGUCUGUCGGCGGUUCGACGUUCGGUGCUUCUACUUCUGGUUAUGGUAGCCGGGGGCCGGCUAACAACAGCUCGGGACACAGUCGGAAGCAAGUCAUCUGCUACUACUGUAAUAAACCUGGGCACGUGGUUAAGGACUGCAGGCAGCUUAAAGCGCUGAAGCAGUCGUCAAAUUCUUGCUACAAGGGUGGCUACAGCAACAGUGGUAACGGAGGUAGUGGCAGCGGAGCUAGCGGCAGCAAGCCAGGAUCCGGUGGAUCAGCUAGGGGGCCAGGAGUUCCGCGGCAGGUAGCAUUCGUGGCAUACAACAGCAAUCGUCCGACGGAAUGGUUUCUGGACUCAGCCGCCACUCACCACAUAACGUAUGACCGCUCAGAACUUUUCAACGUGCGGUUGUUGGAGCCGUGGGAGCGCUUCAACAUCAUGGGCAUCAAGGGACAAUCUCUUCGACCGACUGAAGUUGGCACGCUUACGAUUCGGUCUAACGUCAACGAUAAACAGGCCAUCACUUUCAAGAAGGUCUACGUCGACGAGGAGGCCACCGCCAAAAUCAUAUCGGUCCGCAUCAUUGAUGAUCGUGGAGGCAGUGUGGUCUUCGGCGGCGGACAGGCGAAAGUAUACGUACAGAACCAGUUGGUGCUGACUGGAAAGCGGGAUGGGGACUUGUAUCCCGUCUGCUACAGCAGUGGAGGUACGGGAGCUCUGAAGAGGAUGCAGUGUGAAGACAACAGGAUACCUUCUGGUGGUGAUGCAGUGUGUGCUGCCGUGGGUAUCGGAGCUGAACGUGCAGCACUUUGGCACCGAAGGUAUGGCCACUUGGGAUACAGCAACCUUGAGACGUUGCUGCGUCAUAAUAUGGUAGCUGGAUUUGAUGUUGACCGACACAGCAUACAAUCAGCCAGCACGUGUGUGUGUGAGACUUGCGUCCUUGCUAAACAUACACGUGGUCCUUUUCCGUUAUCUGGGCAUAAGGCAGCGCAACCUCUCGCGCUCAUUCACAUGGUCUGGUCUGGGUUGACACUACUGCAAUUAGCGGUUUAAGGUCCUGGGUUCGAUUCCUGGGGAGACCCCCGAAUUAGUCGGGAGCGCGAGAUUAUGGCUAGCUGCUGAGAUGUGGAGUUGAGGUCACAGUUGAUGGACCAGAUUCGCACGUUAGAUUGGUGGCGAUUGCCGAACCCUCCGUCUCUUCGGGUAUUCGGGUGAAUGGAUGAGGAGGGGUCCCUGAAGGCUGGAUCCGCCGCCUUGGACUUACAGUUCGUAUGGCGAAGUACAGUGUGGUAGUGGUGGAUGGUGCUUUAAGGUGAUAAAUGAUCUAGAACUGACAAUGUGAUAAAGCGGCCCAGAAGCCUCCCACUCUGUAACAUUACAUAAAAAAAAGAAGAUGGUGGUAAUGAUAGCGGAACUGGAGCGCGCUACUGGCAGGCAGGUUAAGGAGGUGCGUACAGAUCGUGGCGGGGAGUUCGUUAAUACUCGCACGAAGGCCUAUUUCGCUUCCAGGGGUAUUCUACACGGAACUACGGUAGGCUACACCCCUGAGCAGAACGGAGCUGCAGAACGUUUAAAUCGCACUCUUUUGGACAAGACUAGGGCUAUGCUAGUUGAGUCUGGACUGCCUAAAUCAUUAUGGGCGGAGGCGUUAGCGACAGCCAACUAUCUUAGGAAUGUGUCGCCAACUGCUGGGUCAACCGUCACUCCGUACGAAGCUUUCUUUAACGUUCGUCCGAACGUCAGUCACCUGCGAGUCUUUGGAUGCGUUGCCUACGUCCACGUACCCGACGUCAAGCGCGACAAGUUCGACCCGGUGAGCAGGCGUGGAGUACUUGUCGGAUACGGGAACGGUGGACAGUAUCGUGUACUAUACGAGGACGGCAUUAUUGCCGUAGUUUCCAACGUUCGUUUUGAUGAAUCUAACGUCGGCCGGCGGCGUAAUGCCGGGGACUCCGAUUAUGAGUCCGAUGCCGACGAGGAGGAGGAUUUUCGCACUAGUUUGCCUGGUGAGGGAUCGCUGCCUAGGGCUGGCGAAGGGAUACCAGGUAGCACCGUCGGCGAGGGAUCGCCGCACUUGGGUGGCGAGGGGGCGCCGGCUGGGGCUGGACCUUCCAGCAGUGCGAAUGGGCAAGGAAUCAAUCAGCCUGAUGUGGAAAUGGCGGGAACUAGGUACCCAGUUAGAGAGCGUAAACGCCCUGGCGAAUGGUGGCGAAAUGAACCUGGUCGCACUGUUACUGGUCGCGUUAACGCUGCUUUUUCUACUGAUAUUCCCGAACCGAAUUCUUUUGCGGAAGCCAUUGCGAGUCCACAUGCAGACGACUGGCGGCGUGCUAUGGACGAGGAGAUCGCCGCCCAGAUGGCUAAUAGUACUUGGGAGCUGAAGAAGCCACCGCCUGGUACUCGUUUGUUGCCGUGUCGUUGGGUAUAUAAGGUUAAGUACAGCGAUGACGGCAGCGUGGAACGCUUUAAGGCGCGUUUAGUUGCCAAGGGUUUUGAGCAACGCGAGGGGAUUGAUUAUGGGGAGUUGUUUGCCCCUACCUCUCGUGGUUCGUCAUUACGAGCUUUAUUAGCAGUUGCCGCAGCGUGGGACAUGACGGUGCAUCAGCUAGAUGUGUCUACUGCGUUUCUGAAUGGUGAGCUGAAGGAGGAGUUGUGGAUGGAGCAACCGCCUGGGUAUGCAUCCAGUGACCGGUCGCUUGCGUGCAAGCUGCAGAAGUCUAUUUACGGUUUGAAGCAGGCACCCCGUUGCUGGUAUGAAAAGCUAUCAGCAGAGUUCGCCAAGCUGGGUCUUUAUCCUUCGAAGUCUGAUCCGGCUAUGUUCGUUAAGACUGACGAGCGUGGGGUUGUUAUUGCUUUGGUGCACGUAGAUGACACUAUUGUUGCGUCGGAAGACCCGGAAAUGGUCCGGGCAAUUAAAGCCGCAAUUGCGAAGGUCUUCAAGGUGCGCGACCUUGGAGAAGCAAAGGUGUUUUGGGGCAUGGAAAUUAGGAGGGAGAAGUCGGGUGAGAUAGUGUUGUCGCAGCAUAGGUAUAUUGCGCAGCUGUUGGAGCGUCAUAGGAUGAUUGACGCCAAGCCGAGGUCUACCCCUUUGCCUCCGGGCUUUAGGUACACUCCUAAGGGGGACGGAGAGGAGCUGCUGGGCAAUCCCACCGAGUAUAGGGCUUUGGUGGGAGAAUUGAACUAUCUGGCGACGAACACGCGGCCUGACAUUUCAUAUGCAUUGAGCGUUUUGUCCCGGCAUAUGGCCGCACCUACGAAGACUGCCAUGAACUUGGCAACCGGCGUUCUGCGUUACCUGGCGGGUACACGCGAACUAGGAUUGCGUUUUGGGGGUGUUGGCGACGUUGCUAUGUCCGGGUACAGUGAUUCGGACUGGGCAGGAGACCCAGUUACGCGACGUUCUACGUCCGGUUACGUAUUCACUCUUAAUGGGGCUGCGAUUAGCUGGAGCAGCCAACUUCAACGUACUGUGGCGGCUUCGUCGGUGGAGGCUGAGUACCAAGCUACAGCAGCGGCUGUUCGUGAGGCUUUGUGGCUUCGCAAGCUGAUGGUUGAUUUGGGCUUGCCUGGGAGCGCGGUGAAAAUCCAGAUAGACUCCCAGGGGGCGCUUAGCUUGGGAAACAACCCGAUUACGUCUGCUCGGUCGAAGCACAUCGACGUGCAGCAUCACAUAGUGCGUGAGAGGGUGAAUAACGGUGAGGUGCAGUUGGAAUACUGCCCUACGGAGUGGAUGGUUGCGGAUGUGCUAACGAAGGCUCUGGGCGAGGUGAAGUUCAAACGUUGCCGAGAUGCUAUGGGCCUUGUGUGAAGUGUGCAGAUGAACUUGGUACUCGUUGGGAUACGGCCCGAGGGGGCGUGUUGAGGAAACGGUCCUCUCCCAACUCGUGUGGUUGUCGACCAGGGGAUUUGACCCCGGGUCUGCGCCUGACUAAUGGGGAAGACUUACCCCAGAACCUUAUGGGGCUACCGAUGCAUAUCCGGUAGCUAAGUGAUAGACAUUAGGGCACCGUCUGGACGGCGCAGUGAGAUCGCGGAAUGUACGUGCAGUUAGAUCGCGGAAUGUACGAGUUUUCCGCUAACGCCGGUAUUUAGGGCGGUGACUGCGCCUAUUAGUUUAUCUCACAACGAUCGGUAUUCCUACCAGGAAUCUCCUCAAGUCCUGCCGAACGCUAACAAUACUCUUUACAUUACUUGUAACAGUUUAUCGUGUUUCAUAUCUUCGCCGCCGGCAAUUCUUCUGAGAUAACAAUCAGCGUUAGCCGUCACCGUCGCCAAUUCUUCAAUAGUUACAACAUCAACAACGAGCGUCCGACGGAAUGGUUUCUGGACUCGGCACCUACUCACCAUGUGUAAUGUAAUGUUACAGAGUGGGAGGCUUCUGGGCCGCUUUAUCACAUUGUCAGUUCUACGAUCAUUUAUCACCUUAUAGCACCAUCCACCACUACCACACUGUCUUCGCCAUACGAACUGUAAGUCCAAGGCGGCGGAUCCAGCCUUCAGGGACCCCUCCUCAUCCAUUCACCCGAACACCCGGAGAGACGGAGGGUUCGGCAAUCGCCACCAAUCCAGCGUGCGAAUCUGGUCCAUCAACUUUGACCCACUGUGACUCCACAUCUCAGCAGCUAACCAUAAUCUCGCGCUCCCGACUAAUUCGGGGGUCUCCCCAGGAAUCGAACCCAGGACCUUAAACCGCUAAUUGCAGUAGUGUCAACCCAGACCAGACUCACCAUGUAACUUAUGACCGAUCCGAACUACUCAAUGUGCGUGUGUUGGAGCCUUGGGAACGCUUCAGCAUUGUGGGCAUUAAGGGCGUCCGACGGAGGUUGGAUCACUUACCAUUCGAUAUAAUGAAGCUUUCUUCAACGUCCGUCCUAACGUCAGUUUCUGGGUGCGUCGCCUACGUCCAUGUACCUGACGUCAAACGCGACAAGUUCGAUCCGGUGAGCAGGCGUGGAAUACUUGUCGGAUACGGGAACGGAGGACAGUACCGUGUGCUGUACGAGGACGGCAUUAUUGAUUUAGUUUCUAAUGUUCGCUUUGAUGAGUCUAACGUCGGCCGGCGGUGUUAUGGCGGGGAUUCUGAUUCUGAUCCUGAGUCCGAUGCCGACGAGGAGGAGGAUUUUCGCACUAGCUUGCCUGGUGAGGGAUCGCUGCCUAGGGCUGGCGAAGGGAUACCAGGUAGCACCGUCGGCGAGGGAUCGCCGCAUUUGGGUGGCGAGGGGGCGCCGGCUGGGGCUGGACCUUCCAGCAGUGCCGAUCGUGGCGGGGAGUUCAUUAAUACUAGCACGAAGGGCUAUUUCGCGUCCAGGGGUAUUGUACACGGAACUACGGUAGGCUACACCCCUGAGCAGAACGGAGCUGCGGAAUGUUUGAAUCGAACGUAACAAUCAGCCUGAUGUGGAAAUGGCAGGGACCCGGUACCCAGUUAGAGAGCGUAAACGCCCUGGCGAGUGGUGGCGAAACGAGCCUGGUCUACCCAAUCGGUACAGCGUGGUGACGACAACACUACUGAUGCGUGAUGGGUGAUUUGGACAUGGCGAACGUCACAUCGAAGCUUUUAGCUAUCGAGACGGCAAACGGUGGGUCAGGCAAAUCUACCGAGUCGGCAGUGUUUGCAUCUGUCGGCGGUUGGACGUUCAGUGCUUCUAAUUCUGGUUAUGGUAGCCGGGGGCCGGCUAACAACAGCUAACAACAGCUUCUGCUCCCGUCGCGUCACGGCGCGUCCGGGUUCAAAUCCGCCUGCCGACCUCUCGGGGUGUUUGAGAGGUGAUGAAAUGGGAGGUGGCCCCCCAUCUUGUGGACGGUGUAGGACGUGAUAAAAUCAACUCGCGAGCUGACCAGGAACUAAGUCGACGCGCCGUUGAUCCGCUAGAUUUGGUUGGAUGCUGGUGGUGAGUUGCCAAACUCAAAGAGUACACUCUGAAGUCGGAUGGGGUGAAUGGCUUAGGGUGCCCCUCUAGCAGGGGAGAGCAGGGAAUUGCCUCGGGUAGGAGGCCACUGGUGAAGCUUAACCACCCUGUAACAACAUCAACAACAUCAACAGCUCGGGAUACAGUCGAAAGCAGAUCGUUUGCUACUACUGUAAUAAGCCUGGGCACAUGGUAAAGGACCGCAGGCAGCUUAAAGCGCUCAAGCAGUCGUCAAUUUCUGGAUAUAAGGGUGGCUACAACAACAGUGGCAGGCAGGCAGGCAGGCAGGCGGGCGGCAGGCGGCAGGCGGCAGGCAGGCAGGCGGCUGGCGGCUGGCAGGCAGGCAGGCGGCUGGCAGAAGUUAAGGCCUGGCUUCUGCUCCCGUCGCGUCCCGGCGCGUCCGGGUUCAAAUCCGCCUGCCGACCUCUCGGGGUGUUUGAGAGGUGAUGAAAUGGGAGGUGGCCCCCCAUCUUGUGGACGGUGUAGGACAUGAUAAAAUCAACUCGCGAGCUGACCAGGAACUAAGUUGACGCGCCGUUGAUCCGCUAGAUUUGGUUGGAUGCUGGUGGUGAGUUGCCAAACUCAAAGAGUACACUCUGAAGUCGGAUGGGGUGAAUGGCUUAGGGUGCCCCUCUAGCAGGGGAGAGCAGGGAAUUGCCUCGGGAAGGAGGCCACUGGUGAAGCUUAACCACCCUGUAACAACAUCAACAGUGGCCGCGGAGCUAGCGGCAGCAAGCCAGGAUCCGGUGGAUCAGCUAGGGGGCCAGGUGUUCCGCGGCAGGUAGUGUUCGUAGCAUACAACAACGAGCGUCAGACGGAAUGGUUUCUGGACUCCACAUCUACUCACCACGUAACUUACGACCGAUCCGAACUAUUGGAACCUUGGGAACACUUCAGCAUUGUGGGCAUUAAGGGUCAGUCACUGCGUCCGACGGAGGUUGGAUCACUUACCAUUCGAUCUUAUGUCAACGACAAUCAAGCCAUCACAUUCAAAAUGGUCUACGUUGAUGAGGAGGCGAUGGUAAAGAUUUUGUCCGUCCGUAUCAUCGACAAUCACGGAGGUAGCGUCGUCUUCGGUGACGGUUAAGUAAAGGUAUACUUGCAGAAUCAUUUAGUGUGGACCGGUGAACGGGACGGUGAUCUCUAACUCAUUUGCUAUCGAAGUGGAAGUACAGGCACCAUCAGGAGGACGCAGAAUACGAGCUACUGUGACAACGGACAUGGUACAACGUGCACCGCCAUGGAUUCCAAGACGGAGCGUGCAACACUUUGGCAUUGGUGUUACGGACAUCUGGGCUACAGCAACCUCGAGGCGUUGCUGCGCCACAAUUUGGUAAUGGGAUUUGACGUCGACCAGCACAGCUUUCAGAAAGCCAGCAUGUGUGUUUGUGAGACCUGCGUUUUUGCAAAGCAGACACGAGGUCCUUUUCCGUAAACAGGGCACAAGGCAGCUCCGCCACUAGCACUAGUUCACAUGGAUGUGUGUGGACCUAUGCCUGAACCUUCGCCUAGUGGUUCGCGUUACGUGACAACUCUGCUUGAUGAUCAUACCGGUCUUUCAGCUGUUGCGUUUACAGCGACCAAGGAGGAGGUCUAUCAGAAGAUGGUGGUAAUGAUAGCGGAACUGGAGCGCGCUUCUGGCAGGCAGGUUAAGGAGGUGCGUAUGGAUCGUGGCGAGGAGUUCAUUAAUACACUCUCCUGGACAAAACUAGGGCUAUACUUGUCGAGUCCGGUCUACCUAAGUCAUUAUGGGCGGAAGUGUUGGCAAUUACCUCAGCCAAUUACCUCAGGAAUGUGUCGCCAACUGCUGGGUCAACUGUCACGCCGUAUGUAGCUUUCUUCAACGUCCGUCCUAACGUCAGUCACCUUCGAGUUUUUGGUUGCAUCGCCUACGUCCACGUACCUGACGUCAAACGCGACAAUUUAGAUCCGGUGAGCAGGCGUAGAAUACUUGUCGGUUACGGGAACGGAGGACAGUACCAUGUGCUGUACGAGGACGGCAAUAUUGCCGUAGUUUCACGCACCUUGAAGACCUUCGCAAUUGCGGCUUUAAUUGCCCUGACCAUUUCCGGGUCUUCUGAUGCAACAAUGGUGUCAUCUACGUGCACCAAAGCAAUAACAACCCCACGCUUGUCCGUCUUAACGAACAUCGCCGGAUCAGACUUCGAAGGAUAAAGCUUGGCGAAAUCUGCUAAUACCUCGGGUCCAGGGAUUGUGGACAUCUGUACGAUACUUCCAUUGGUACUGGUAUGUAUGUAUGUUGUUACAGGGUGGUUAACUUCGCCAGCGGCCCCCUUUCCCGGGGCAGUCCCUGCUCUCCCCUGCUAAACCCUAAUCCGUCACCCCAUCCGACUUCAGAAUGUAUUCGUUGGGUUCGGCAACUCACCACCAGCAUCCAACCAACAAAUCUAGCGGAUCAACGGCGCAUCAACUUAGUUCCUCGCAAGUUGAUAUUAUCACGUCCUACAUCGUCCAUAUGAUGGGGGGCCACCUCCCAUUUCAACACUUGUUGAGGUAACGGUCCUCUCCCAACUCGUGUGGUUGUCGACCAGGGGAUUUGACCCCGGGUCUGCGCCUGACUAAUGGGGAAGACUUACCCCAGAACCUUAUGGGGCUACCGAUGCAUAUCCGGUAGCUAAGUGAUAGACAUUAGGGCACCGUCUGGACGGCGCAGUGAGAUCGCGGAAUGUACGUGCAGUUAGAUCGCGGAAUGUACGAGUUUCCGCUAGCGCCGGUAUUUAGGGCGGUGACUGCGCCUAUUAGUUUAUCUCACAACGAUCGGUAUUCCUACCAGGAAUCUCCUCAAGUCCUGCCGAACGCUAACAAUACUCUUUACAUUUCUUGUAACUGUUUAUCGUGUUUCAUAUCUUCGCCACCGGCAAUCCUUCCGAAAUAACAAUCAGCGUUAGCCGUCACCGUCGCCAAUUCUCAAUAGGUUAUGAGCCCCGUUUAGCGCCGACAGUUAUCGCCCAAUUGUUAUUUCUAUCCCUCAUCGAAAAUGGUUAAGGACAAGCUUGAUGAGUCGCUGGAUCUCAAUAACUACUCUACCUGGCAAAUUCGGUUCAGCGCGAUGUGCAUGGAGCUUGGGCUUGAGCAAUCCCUGCUCGCCGAGCCGUGCAACGAGGAGCAAAUUCGACAGUCACGGAAGGUCAUCAAUCUGCUCAUCAAGAACGUCAAGGAUCAUCAUUUACCGAUGGUUACCGGUGCUGCCAACGCGAAGAAGGCCUGGGACGCCUUGGGAUCUAUGUUUGCUGCCAACAACAACGCCCGCAAGGUGUCUCUACGUCAAGAAUUCAGCCGUUUUAAGAUGGUCGACGGCGAACCUCUUCCGAUGUACUUUGCGCGUGCAAGGCAGCUGCAAACAGAUUUAUUGGGAGUCGGCCACGUAGUUAACGACUCCGAGCUGGCGUACACCGUGCUAGUUGGUCUACCCAGUCGGUACAGCGUGGUGACGACUACAUUACUUAUGCGCGACGGCGAUUUGGACAUGGCGAGCGUCACAGCAAAGCUUCUCUCUAUCGAGACGGCUAACGGUGGGUCGGGCAAGCCUACCGAGUCGGCAGCCUUCGCGUCUGUCGGCGGUUCGACGUUCGGCGCUUCUACUUCUGGUUAUGGUAGCCGGGGGCCGGCUAACAACAGCUCGGGACAUAGUCGGAAGCAAGUCAUCUGCUACUACUGUAAUAAACCUGGGCACGUGGUUAAGGACUGCAGGCAGCUUAAGGCGCUGAAACAGUCGUCAAAUUCUGGCUACAAGGGUGGCUACAGCAACAGUGGUAACGGAGGUAGUGGCAGCGGAGCUAGCGGCAGCAAGCCAGGAUCCGGUGGAUCAGCUAGGAGGCCAGGAGUUCCGCGGCAGGUAGCAUUCGUGGCAUACAACAGCAAUCGUCCGACGGAAUGGUUUCUGGACUCAGCCGCCACUCACCACAUAACGUAUGACCGCUCAGAACUUUCCAACGUGCGGUUAUUGGAGCCAUGGGAGCGCUUCAACAUCAUGGGCAUCAAGGGACAGUCUCUUCGGCCGACUGAAGUUGGCACGCUUACGAUUCGGUCUAACGUCAACGAUAAACAAGCCAUCACUUUCAAGAAGGUCUACGUCGACGAGGAGGCCACCACCAAAAUCAUAUCGGUACGCAUCAUUGAUGAUCGUGGAGGCAGUGUGGUCUUCGGCGGCGGACAGGCGAAAGCAUACGUACAGAACCAGUUGGUGCUGACUGGAAAGCGGGAUGGGGACUUGUAUCCCGUCUGCUACAGCAGUGGAGGUACGGGAGCUCUGAAGAGGACGCAGCGUGAAGACAACAGGAUACCUUCUGGUGGUGAUGCAGUGUGUGCUGCCGUGGGUAUCGGAGCUGAACGUGCAGCACUUUGGCACCGAAGGUAUGGCCACUUGGGAUACAGCAACCUUGAGACGUUGCUGCGUCAUAAUAUGGUAGCUGGAUUUGAUGUUGACCGACACAGCAUACAAUCAGCCAGCACGUGUGUGUGUGAGACUUGCGUCCUUGCUAAACAUACACGUGGUCCUUUUCCGUUAUCUGGGCAUAAGGCAGCGCAGCCUCUCGCGCUCAUUCACAUGGAUGUGUGUGGACCUAUGCCUGAACCUUCGCCUAGUGGUUCGCGUUACGUGACAACCCUGCUUGACGACCAUACUGGUCUUUCAGCUGUUGCGUUUACAGCGACCAAGGAGGAGGUCUACCAGAAGAUGGUGGUAAUGAUAGCGGAACUGGAGCGCGCUACUGGCAGGCAGGUUAAGGAGGUGCGUACAGAUCGUGGCGGGGAGUUCGUUAAUACUCGCACAAAGGCCUAUUUCGCUUCCAGGGGUAUUCUACACGGAACUACGGUAGGCUACACCCCUGAGCAGAACGGAGCUGCAGAACGUUUAAAUCGCACUCUUUUGGACAAGGAUAGGGCUAUGCUAGUUGAGUCUGGACUGCCUAAAUCAUUAUGGGCGGAGGCGUUAGCGACAGCCAACUAUCUUAGGAAUGUGUCGCCAACUGCUGGGUCAACCGUCACUCCGUACGAAGCUUUCUUUAAUGUUCGUCCGAACGUCAGUCACCUGCGAGUCUUUGGAUGCGUUGCCUACGUCCACGUACCCGACGUCAAGCGCGACAAGUUCGACCCGGUGAGCAGGCGUGGAAUACUUGUCGGAUACGGGAACGGUGGACAGUAUCGUGUACUAUACGAGGACGGCAUUAUUGCCGUAGUUUCUAACGUUCGUUUUGACGAGUCUAAUGUCGGCCGGCGGCGUAAUGCCGGGGACUCCGACUAUGAGUCCGAUGCCGACGAGGAGGAGGAGUUUCGCACUAGUUUAUCUGGUGAGGGAUCGCUGCCUAGGGCUGGCGAAGGGACACCAGGUAGCACCGUCGGCGAGGGAUCGCCGCAUUUGGGUGGCGAGGGGGCGCCGGCUGGGGCUGGACCUUCCAGCAGUGCGAACGGGCAAGGAAUCAAUCAGCCUGAUGUGGAAAUGGCGGGAACUAGGUACCCAGUUAGAGAGCGUAAACGCCCUGGCGAAUGGUGGCGAAACGAACCUGGUCGCACUGUCACUGGUCGCGUUAACGCUGCUUUCUCUGCUGGUAUUCCUGAGCCUAAUUCGUUUGAGGAAGCAAUUGCAAGUCCACAUGCAGACGACUGGUGGCGUGCAAUGGACGAGGAGAUCGCCGCCCAGAUGGCUAAUAGUACUUGGGAGCUGAAGAAGCCACCUCCUGGUACUCGUUUGUUGCCGUGUCGUUGGGUAUAUAAGGUUAAGUACAGCGAUGAUGGCAGCGUGGAGCGUUUUAAGGCGCGUUUAGUUGCCAAGGGUUUCGAGCAACGUGAAGGGAUUGAUUAUGGGGAGUUGUUUGCCCCUACCUCUCGUGGUUCGUCAUUGCGUGCUUUAUUAGCAGUUGCCGCAGCCCGGAACAUGACGGUACAUCAACUCGAUGUGUCUACUGCGUUUCUGAAUGGUGAGCUGAAGGAGGAGUUGUGGAUGGAGCAACCGCCUGGAUAUGCAUCCAGUGACCGGUCGCUUGCGUGCAAGCUGCAGAAGUCUAUUUACGGUUUAAAGCAGGCACCCCGUUUCUGGUAUGAAAAAACUAUCAGCAGAGUUCGCCAAGUUGGGUCUUUAUCCUUCGAAGUCUGAUCCGGCUAUGUUCGUUAAGACUGACGAGCGUGGGGUUGUUAUUGCUUUGGUGCACGUAGAUGACACCAUUGUUGCGUCGGAAGACCCGGAAAUGGUCCGGGCAAUUAAAGCCGCAAUUGCGAAGGUCUUCAAGGUGCGCGACCUUGGAGAAGCGAAGGUGUUUUUGGGCAUGGAAAUUAGGAGGGAGAAGUCGGGUGAAAUAGUGUUGUCGCAACAUAGGUAUAUUUCGCAGCUAAUGGAGCGUCAUAAGUUGGUCUGGUCUGGGUUGACACUACUGCAAUUAGCGGUUUAAGGUCCUGGGUUCGAUUCCUGGGGAGACCCCCGAACUAGUCGGGAGCGCGAGAUUAUGGCUAGCUGCUGAGAUGUGGAGUUGAGGUCACAGUUGAUGGACCAGAUUCGCACGCUGGAUUGGUGGCGAUUGCCGAACCCUCCGUCUCUUCGGGUGUUCGGGUGAAUGGAUGAGGAGGGGUCCCUGAAGGCUGGAUCCGCCGCCUUGGACUUACAGUUCGUAUGGCGAAGACAGUGUGGUAGUGGUGGAUGGUGCUAUAAGGUGAUAAAUGAUCGUAGAACUGACAAUGUGAUAAAGCGGCCCAGAAGCCUCCCACUCUGUAACACAUUACAUUACAUUACAUAAGUUGGUUGACGCCAAGCCGAGGUCUACUCCUUUGCCUCCGGGUUUUAGGUACACAUCUACGGGGGACGGAGAGGAGCUGCUGGGCAAUCCCACGGAGUAUAGGGCUUUGGUGGGAGAAUUGAACUAUCUUGCGACGAACAUGCGGCCUGACAUUUCUUAUGCAUUGAGUGUUUUGUCCCGGCAUAUGGCCACACCUACGAAGACUGCCAUGAACUUGGCCACUGGCGUUCUGCGUUACCUGGCGGGUACUCGCGAACUAGGAUUGCGUUUUGGGGGUGUUGGUGACGUUGCUAUGUCCGGGUAUAGCGAUUCUGACUGGGCAGGAGACCCAGUUACGCGGCGUUCUACGUCCGGUUACGUAUUCACUCUUAAUGGGGCUGCGAUUAGCUGGAGCAGCCAACUUCAACGUACUGUGGCAGCUUCGUCGGUGGAGGCUGAGUACCAAGCUACAGCGGCGGCUGUUCGUGAGGCUUUGUGGCUUCACAAGCUGAUGGUUGAUUUGAGCUUGCCUGAGAGCGUGGUGAAAAUCCAGAUAGACUCCCAGGGGCGCUUAGCUUGGGAAACAACCCGAUUACGUCUGCUCGGUCGAAGCACAUCGACGUGCAGCAUCACAUAGUGCGUGAGAGGGUGAAUAGCGGUGAGGUGCAGUUGGAAUACUGCCCUACGGAGUGGAUGGUUGCGGAUGUACUAACGAAGGCUCUGGGCGAGGUGAAGUUCAAACGUUGCCGAGAUGCUAUGGGCCUUGUGUGAAGUGUGCAGAUGAACUUGGUACUCGUUGGGAUACGGCCCGAGGGGGCGUGUUGAGGAAACGGUCCUCUCCCAACUCGUGUGGUUGUCGACCAGGGGAUUUGACCCCGGGUCUGCGCCUGACUAAUGGGGAAGACUUACCCCAGAACUUUAUGGGGCUACCGAUGCAUAUCCGGUAGCUAAGUGAUAGACAUUAGGGCACCGUCUGGACGGCGCAGUGAGAUCGCGGAAUGUACGUGCAGUUAGAUCGCGGAAUGUACGAGUUUUCCGCUAACGCCGGUAUUUAGGGCGGUGACUGCGCCUAUUAGUUUAUCUCACAACGAUCAGUAUUCCUACCAGGAAUCUCCUCAAGUCCUGCCGAACGCUAACAAUACUCUUUACAUUUCUUGUAACAGUUUAUCGUGCUAAAUAUCUUCGCCACCGGCAAUCCUUCCGAAAUAACAAUUAGCGUUAGCCGUCACCGUCGCCAAUUCUAAAUAACACUCCUCAAAUAUCCGAGGAGCCGGCAGGCGGUUUUGAACCCGGGUCGACCGGGAGUAGAAGCCAGGCCUUAACCUCUGCCAGCCGCCUGCCCAUAAAGGUAUAUAAGACACGAGUUGUGCUAGUCUUAGUAUCUCAUCUUUGUAUGGAUCGGUAUUCCUUAGUAGGAAUCUCCUAAAGGCUUCUUGCCGUUUAUCACUCACCUACCGAUUGUAAGACUUAUAUCGCAACCAGUCUCCUUGCCUCCUUCAUAUUCUUAACAGGGCCCGGUGGGUCUAGCAAGGGAUCAGUUUUCUCGAGGCAUGUUGUGUUUGUAGCUUACAACAGUAAGCGUCUGAGGGAUCCUGGUCGGAUACAUGAGUGGAGGACAGUAUCGUGUGAUGUACAAGGACGGCAUCAUCGCCGUGGUCUCCAAUGUCCGCUUUGACGGAUUUAGUGUCGGCCGGCGGCAUAAUGCCAGGGAUUCUGACGAUUGGUCCGAUGCCAACGAAGAUUUCGCCCUAGUUUGCCUGGUGAGGGGUCGCUGCCUAGGGCUGGCGAAUGGACAUCAGGCAAUACCUCAGCGAGGGAUCGCCGCCUUUGUGUGGCCAGGGGGCGCUGGCUGGGACUGGACCUCCCAGAAGUGUGAAUGUGCAAGGAAAUACACAACCUGAUGUAGAAAUAAUGGGGGCUUUUCAGUUAGGGAAUGUAAACGGUCCUGGCGAGUGGUGACGGAGUGUACCUGGUCGUAAUGCUACAGGCCGAGUCAUUGCUGCAGUAUCUGCUGGAAUUCAUAACUUUUAUGCCGAAGCCAUCCCAGGUCUACAUGCAGACGACUGGCGGCAGUGAGUGCCGCGAAACAUUUGUAUCCAGUCGACCCAACUGGACAGCGUGGAUUGCAGCAGGCGAUCAUUUGAUGCAACUACAAGCAGACGGGCCGUAUAGCUCGGAGUUGCAGAGAGAGCCGCAGCCUAACGUGCAAGGAAGGAGUGGAGGUGGUCUUGGCGACCACACGUGGCAGGUGGGGUAGCAUGCCUCAACAGACAGGCGGUGGCGGCAGUUCAGUGAUGCCGUGUAUUUUUUUGCUGCAAGAUACGUUAGUAUCACUAUCAAUUGUCUGACUCCGAAGCGGCUAGUAUUGGUGUACCUGAGUCAGGGCCUUUGCCAGCGGCAAGCCAGCGCAGGAGUUCAGAAGAAUAGGGCAGGGAAUAUGAGGAGAUUUUAUAGCCCCCGGAGUGGUGGCAUGGUGUUGCAGGAAGGAGCAUAGGAGGUCGCAUUAACGUGGCUGUCACUUAUCCGUUCCCUCCUGAACUUUUGCUGAGUAAUACUUUCACUGAAGCCAUUUCAGGUGCAAAUGCAAGUGAGUGGCGCAGAGUGAUGGUCGAGGAGAUUGCUACAUUAGCAGCUAACGGCACUUGUGAGCUGUGUGCUAAUGUACCGGUGGUUGUACAAGUUGAAAAGAGUGGAAGGUGACACGGUCAAGCGGUUUUUUGCAUGGCUAGGUGCAAAGAUGUACGAGAAGUACGAGAACUUGGAGACGUGCAGGUGUUUUUGGGCAUGGAAAUAAUGAGGAUGAAGCCGGGCAAAUUGGUGUUGUCGCAAUGUAGGUAUAUUGAGAAGCUAUUGGAGCGUCAUCAGAUGGUGGAUGCCAAGCCGAGGUCUACCCCUUUGCCUCCGGGUUUUAGGUGCACACCUACGGGGGAUACAGAUGAGCUGCUGGGUAAUCUCACGGAGUAUAGGGCUUUGGUGGGAGAGUUCAACUACCUAGCGACGAACACACGGCCUGACAUUUCUUAUGCAUUGAGUGUUUUGUCCCGGCAGAUGGCCACACCUACGAAGACUGCCAUGAAUUUGGCCACUGGCGUUCCGCAUUACCUGGCGGGUACUCGCGUACUAGGAUUGCGUUUUGGGGGUGUUGGCGGUGUUGCAAUGUCCGGGUACAGCGAUUCGGACUGGGCAGGAGACCCAGUUACGCGGUGUUCUACGUCCGGUUACGUGUUCACUCUUAAUGGGGCUGCGAUUAGCUGGAGCAGCCAACUUCAACGUACUGUGGCGGCUUCGUCAGUGGAGGCCGAGUACCAAGCUACAGCGGCGGCUGUUCGUGAAGCUUUGUGGCUUCGCAAGCUGAUGGUGAAAAUCCAGAUAGACUCCCAGGGGGCGCUUAGCUUGGGAAAUAAUCCGAUUACGUCUGCUCAUUCGAAACACAUCGACGUGCAGCACCACAUAGGGCGUGAAAGAGUGAAAAGCGGUGAGGUGCAGUUGGAGUACUGCCCUACAGAGUGGAUGGUAGCGGAUGCGCUCACGAAGACACUGGGAGAAGUGAAGUUCAAACGGUGCAGAGAAGCUAUGGGUGUUGUGUGAAGUGCCCAUUGGCGGAGCAAAUGUGCUACUGCGAGUUGGGAUAUGUCCCGAGGGGGCGUGUUGAAGGGCGGUCCUAUCCCAACAUAGAUAGGUGGUAGUUAGGCGAUGAAUCCGCCGUGAUAGGCGUUGCCUCGGCCGUGCCUCGACCUUGCCUCGGCCGUGCCUCAACCUUCCCUCGGGUCUCUCGGCCGCGUAUCUCGGACGUGUCCUCAGGUCCAGGGAUGGUGGACGACUGAACGAUACUUCCAUUGGUACUGGUAUAUAAGACACGAGAUGUGCAUGUCUUAGUAUCUCAUCUUCGGAUGGAUCGGUAUUCCUUAGCAGGAAUCUCCUAAAGUCUUCUUGCCGUUCACCACUAACCCACGUACAGUAACCCUUAUAUCGCGACCAGUCUCCUUGCCUUCAUAUUCUUAACAGGGGGCAACACCCAGUGCUUACGUUCAAGGUAAAAUAUCAGGGUAAGACCCAACAAGCUGCCCUGACGUUGAACGUUGACAUAACCCAUCAGCACCCCUCGACCAUGUUCAACAUGCUCCCCAGGUUCCAAAAGGGUUACAAGGCAGCCCUGGUUGCAAGCAGUCCGGAAACGAGCAAACACUCCUCACCUGAAUCGCAUCGUUCUCUCCAGACACCCCUGCCUCCUCGGCUCCACCGCCUGUGUUGCUCUCCUAGCGCCCUGUCCCGCGCCCAGUUCUCCCGCCGCUGCUGCGUCCACGCCCUCGACCACCGCGCGUGCCAGCGGCGGUUCCGGAUCGCCCACGGCCGCGCGUGCCGCCAGCAGCACCUGUGACCUCGACUGGGGCCUGGGCCGUUGCCAUGCCCGCAUCCCCACCGGUCCCUACGGUGGCAGGGCUGCGCCGGUCCCGCCACCCCUGGGAUGCAUGGCCUGGGCAGUUUCAGCUGCUAGGUUUGCUACCUGGGCAACGCAGGCGAGCGAGCAAGCUAUGAAUUUACAAGUACUCCCCCACCCUUCGUGUGUCGAUUGCUCAGUGAUCCGCGAGGCCCCAAUCUUCUGUGAUGGUUCCGGCUGCUGAUGACACUGCACUCUGCCUGAAAUUGACCAAAUCAGGGCAGUGCUGUCCUCCUCAUAGGAUAGCACGCCACAGGGCAGGCUCCCCCUGAACCGCUUGACUGCAGCGUUGACGUCCUCAUGCGUGGAGAACUUCCUCAGAAAGCUUGUUCUCAAUGCUGUCCCGGUAACGUCAAAGAAUGGAGGCGCUACCUGGACCUCACGGCCGUCUGUGUAGGGCAUUGUUAACGAGACAACAUCGCCUGCUGACCUGACGCCUGCAGCACCGGCCAUGGAGCUCAACCUUCCCCUUGAAGUAAUAAGUUGCAUUCUGCUUCCUGAAAAUGCUCGCUGAUAUCAUGUUACCUCCCAGCUCAAAACUAAGCGGUAUCACGUUUUGGCUCUGCUGUUCAUAGGAUUCCCCUAAAGCACACCGGAGUUCAAUACUUCUGGGAAAGUCUUGUUCCAUUUUCCAGCUUAUGGAACUAUAAGGUUGCACUUGUUCAGGUACAGACGGCGCGGAAGCUAUUGGUCCGUCCUGUAUCGUGAGUCGUGGCUAGUGUAAACUGUAUCGGGUAUAGCAAUGGAAUACAAGAACGUAGAGAGUGAGGCAGGUCGUGAUAAGACUUGGCUGAUGACAUGCAAGUAUACAAGUACGGCGCCCAUACUAGAGUACCGCCAGCUCGCCAUCAGUACUAUCCGUACUAUCCCAACUCCUGUGGUUGUUGACCAGGGUAUUUGACCCCGGGUCUGUGUUGAGGAAACGGUCCUCUCCCAACUCGUGUGGUUGUCGACCGUAUUUGUUUAUCUCACUACGAUCGGUAUUCCUACCAGGAAUCUCCUCAAGUCCUGCCGAACGCUAACAAUACUCUUUACAUUACUUGUAACAGUUUAUCGUGUUUCAUAUCUUCGCCGCCGGCAAUUCUUCUGAGAUAACAAUCAGCGUUAGCCGUCACCGUCGCCAAUUCUUCAAUAGGUUAUGAGCCCCGCUUAGCGCCGACAGCUAUCGCCCAAUUGUUAUUUCUAUCCCUCAUCGACAAUGGUUAAGGACAAGCUUGAUGAGUCGCUGGACCUCAACAACUACUCUACCUGGCAAAUUAGGUUUAGCGCGAUGUGCAUGGAGCUUGGGCUUGAGCAAUCCCUGCUCGCCGAGCCGUGCAACGAGGAGCAGAUUCGACAGUCACGGUCAUCAAUCUGCUCAUCAAGAACGUCAAGGAUCAUCAUUUGCCGAUGGUUACCGGUGCUGCCAACGCGAAGAAGGCCUGGGACGCCUUGGGAUCUAUGUUUGCUGCCAACAACAACGCCCGCAAGGUGUCUCUACGUCAAGAAUUCAGCCGUUUUAAGAUGGUCGACGGCGAACCUCUCCCGAUGUACUUUGCGCGUGCAAGGCAGCUGCAAACAGAUUUAUUGGGAGUCGGCCACGUAGUUAACGACUCCGAGCUGGCGUACACCGUGCUAGUUGGUCUACCCAGUCGGUACAGCGUGGUGACGACUACGUUACUUAUGCGCGACGGCGAUUUGGACAUGGCGAGCGUCACAGCAAAGCUUCUCUCUAUCGAGACGGCUAACGGUGGGUCGGGCAAGCCUACCGAGUCGGCAGCCUUCGCGUCUGUCGGCGGUUCGACGUUCGGCGCUUCUACUUCUGGUUAUGGUAGCCGGGGGCCGGCUAACAACAGCUCGGGACAUAGUCGGAAGCAAGUCAUCUGCUACUACUGUAAUAAACCUGGGCACGUGGUUAAGGACUGCAGGCAGCUUAAGGCGCUGAAGCAGUCGUCAAAUUCUGGCUAUAAGGGUGGGUACAACAACAGUGGCAACGGAGGUAGUGGCAGCGGAGCUAGCGGCAGCAAGCCAGGAUCCGGUGGAUCAGCUAGGGGGCCAGGAGUUCCGCGGCGUUCGUAGCAUAUAACAGCGAGCGUCCGACGGAAUGGUUUCUGGACUCAGCCGCCACUCACCACAUAACGUAUGACCGCUCAGAACUUUUCAACGUGCGGUUGUUGGAGCCAUGGGAGCGCUUCAACAUCAUGGGCAUCAAGGGACAAUCUCUUCGACCGACUGAAGUUGGCACGCUUACGAUUCGGUCUAACGUCAACGAUAAACAGGCCAUCACUUUCAAGAAGGUCUACGUCGACGAGGAGGCCACCGCCAAAAUCAUAUCGGUCCGCAUCAUUGAUGAUCGUGGAGGCAGUGUGGUCUUCGGCGGCGGACAGGCGAAAGUAUACGUACAGAACCAGUUGGUGCUGACUGGAAAGCGGGAUGGGGACUUGUAUCCCGUCUGCUACAGCAGUGGAGGUACGGGAGCUCUGAAGAGGACGCAGCGUGAAGACAACAGGAUACCUUCUGGUGGUGAUGCAGUGUGUGCUGCCGUGGGUAUCGGAGCUGAACGUGCAGCACUUUGGCACCGAAGGUAUGGCCACUUGGGAUACAGCAACCUUGAGACGUUGCUGCGUCAUAAUAUGGUAGCUGGAUUUGAUGUUGACCGACACAGCAUACAAUCAGCCAGCACGUGUGUGUGUGAGACUUGCGUCCUUGCUAAACAUACACGUGGUCCUUUUCCGUUUUCAUGAGUAGUUGCCUUACCGCUUAUAGACGUGAGUAGAGCUUGGGUACCUGCGAGCAGAAGAGUGCACUUGCUUCCGUGGGAGGAGGCGAGCCUGGUUACCGACUGCGUUAUCUGCCUCGGGGCGGUGUAAUUGGCAGACGACGCAGUGGAAACCUGUCAGUACUGACUAAAUUAACUCGCGAAAUUGCUCUUUCCGUCGCGCUCUCCGCGACUUGCCCUACUUUCUCACCAGUACGGCCCCGCCGUACCACCAACGAACUGCCGAGUACGCUCUCGGCAAAUACACAGAAAACCUUGGUUUUCUUUCGUUACUCUCAGAAAACCUACAGUUAUCUAGGCAUAAGGCAGCGCAGCCUCUCGCGCUCAUUCACAUGAAUGGUCUGGUCUGAGUUGACACUACUGCAAUUAGCGGUUUAAGGUCCUGGGUUCGAUUCCUGGGGAGACCCCUGAAUUAGUCGGGAGCGCGAGAUUAUGGCUAGCUGCUGAGAUGUGGAGUUGAGGUCACAGUUGAUGGACCAGAUUCGCACGUUAGAUUGGUGGCGAUUGCCGAACCCUCCGUCUCUUCGGGUGUUCGGGUGAAUGGAAGAGGAGGGGUCCCUGAAGGCUGGAUCCGCCGCCUUGGACUUACAGUUCGUAUGGCGAAGCACAGUGUGGUAGUGGUGGAUGGUGCUAUAAGGUGAUAAAUGAUCUAGAACUGACAAUGUGAUAAAGCGGCCCAGAAGCCUCCCACUCUGUAA